Molecule: ribosomal RNA, 575 nt
Filed under: Helicotylenchus dihystera
Lineage: Eukaryota; Metazoa; Nematoda; Chromadorea; Rhabditida; Hoplolaimidae
Description: eukaryotic LSU rRNA
Rfam family: Eukaryotic large subunit ribosomal RNA (bases 400-575)
Source: RNAcentral
CCGAUGAGGUGGAAACGGACAGAGCUGGCGUAUCUGGCCUGCAUUCAGCCGCUGCGCGUCGGGCCCCGGUUUGCCGCACUCCAGAUUGGGAAGGUGGCUGGGCUGCUGGCGUGCUGGUGGUGCAUUUGCAGGUGGAGUGCGCCGAGGCGCCCGGUUCAGCGGCGUGAGCUCGGCUUUGAGGCCAGUCGCGCAAGCGGUCUGGUACCCGGGUCGGGGGAGUGUUGUUUGGGCUGGGUGUUCGCUGGGGCACAGGUUUCGGGCCCGGGUGGGUGCCGAGCUGGCGGUCGGCGGCGGUCGCGUGCGACACGUGCCAGCAGUCAGUUCGGUCCUGCUCGAGCUCUCUCGUGUCCGGCCUCGGUGUAAAAGCCGGUCAUCUGUCCGACCCGUCUUGAAACACGGACCAAGGAGUUUAGCGUGUGCGCGAGUCAUUGGGUGUUGAAAACCCAGAGGCGUAAUGAAAGUGAAGGUCUGCCUUGUGCAGCUGAUGUGUGAUCCUGGGCGCCGCGGUGCCCGGGCGCAACAUAGUCCCGUCCCGACUGCAUGCAGUGGGGCGGAGACAGAGCGUACGCGCUGAG